Ribosomal RNA from Pteropus vampyrus (large flying fox), 135 nucleotides. The record is from Ensembl. NCBI's taxonomy places the organism in Eukaryota, Metazoa, Chordata, Mammalia, Chiroptera, Pteropodidae.
AUUUAGGGCAGUGGUUCUCAAACUCAGCUGCACAUUAGAACACCUAAGGAGUUUUUUAAAAAUAUACUGAUGUUGUGUCACGCCUGGUUAGUACUUGAAUGGGAGACCACCUAGGAAGACCGGGUGCUGUAGGCA